This 253-nucleotide ribosomal RNA is filed under the name uncultured bacterium. RNAcentral describes it as "partial 16S ribosomal RNA". It matches the Rfam family "Bacterial small subunit ribosomal RNA", at positions 524 to 776 of the family's 1533-position model. The record is from RNAcentral.
UACGAAGGGGGCUAGCGUUGCUCGGAUUUACUGGGCGUAAAGGGCGCGUAGGCGGACAGUUAAGUUGGGGGUGAAAGCCCGGGGCUCAACCUCGGAAUUGCCUUCAAUACUGGCUGUCUUGAGUGUGAGAGAGGUGUGUGGAACUCCGAGUGUAGAGGUGAAAUUCGUAGAUAUUAGGAAGAACACCGGUGGCGAAGGCGGCCAUCUGGCUCGGUACUGACGCUCAGGCGCGAAAGCGUGGGGAGCGAACAGG